UAUCACAGUUGUGCAUGAACACACCAUUUUUUCCCCAGUAUCUCCCUCCUAAGCUGCCCUAAAUUCACAGCUCUCUUUCAAGCUCCAAACUGAACAAGUCCCAAGUAAGGACUCAUACAGGCCUUUCUCUCUUAAUGCAGGGAAAAACAGCAGGAAGCAGAGAGGAGGGGCACUGAGAAGAAAGGCUGACAGCCUUCCUCCUGCAGCUGUGGAGGGGAGGAUGAGGCAGGAACAGGAAGGAUAAAAGCAAUGACUGCCAGCUGGGAGCUAAGCAGAAGGGCUGAGUUUUGUGAGCAGUGUUACACUGACUGAUGGACAUCAUUCCUGGCCUAGUCUGCUUUAUUUACUUCCAUGAGGCACCCAGAGGAUCUCAGCAUUUCACCCUGACAACAGGACUGAGUGGUGGACCCACCUGUGCAAACCUCCCUGGGCCGAUAAGGGAUCUAGGGUUGGAACAGAGACCCACAAUGAAGAAGGAAGUGGUUCCAGGACCACAUACUCACCAGUUCUUGGCAAACCCCUCCCAGGAGAGACAUUAAAAGCAGGAGGUCUGAACUCUUGAAUUUUCCAAGAAGGCGAACUAAUGCAGGAGGGCCCCUUUCUGAAGCAGGUUUGGCCCUGUUCUGUCUGCUCCGAUGCACCGCCAACCUCUGCUGGACUUUGCUCUGGAUUUGCUCGGCACAAUAAAAUGUGGAGGAUCAGGUCUGCCAGGAGCAGGGUUCGCCUCUGUUGUUGGAGCAGUUAGGAAUGUGGAUUCUAGAUAAAAUGGUGACCAUUUCCCAGCUCAGCAGAAUACUUGUGUGACUCCACAGAUCAUAUAUACAGCCAGAGUGUGAGAGGCAUAUAUCUGCUAGUUUGCCCACCAUUACUUCCUUGGCUGGAGGUUCCCAUGCUGUGGUACCUGUAUCACCGUGCAGGCCACCAGCAUCACUUUUUGAAGUAACUGCUUCGAAAGCAACUGCUGUGUCACCUCUGACCCUGGUUCAGGAGAUUGCUGCUGAAGUCCAGUUGCAUGAUUUCAAUUGCCAGACUAGCUCCUGAGACUUCUCCCAAUCUUUUUAAAGAUUGCUGAUUGAAUUGCUGCCGUACCAGCCCACGUUAUUAGAUCAAAAAGGAAGAAUGGG
This is a long non-coding RNA of Oxyura jamaicensis (ruddy duck), 1124 nucleotides long. RefSeq lists it as uncharacterized. Lineage: Eukaryota; Metazoa; Chordata; Aves; Anseriformes; Anatidae. The record is from RefSeq and is a predicted model, not a curated record. The transcript has 6 exons.